This is a long non-coding RNA of Bos taurus (domestic cattle), 597 nucleotides long. Lineage: Eukaryota; Metazoa; Chordata; Mammalia; Artiodactyla; Bovidae. The record is from Ensembl.
GGCAGGAAAUCAAGCCAGAUCCUGGGAAAGGGCCUUCUUGCUAAUGAACUGGCCAACCAGGCCCCUGUAAAUCCACUGACCCAUCACUAACUUACUAUGUGACUCUGCUCUCUGGGCCUCAGGCUCCUGCUCUAUAAUCAGGAGGGGACAAGGGGAGAAGCAGCGUGGUGGGAUUUAGAUGGCAAGCAUGCCUGGUAGUGGCAGGGCCAUCCGUGAACUGAGCUGAGGACAUUACAGGCCCUGGAGUGGCUGUGAGGAGCCAGGUGGCUGGAGAUGGCAGAGGCUUUGUCCUCUCUUGGAAAAGGCAGAUGAUAUUCUUUUUUAACCAACAAGCUUACCAUGUACCUGACUGCACAAAGUCUACACAGACUCACUUCAGCUUCUCCACAUUCCCAGAGAGGGUGUUUGCUACUCUGAUGGACAAACGGACAGGGGACGCAACUGUCCAGUAUCACUCGGUUCAGGGUGUUUCAUCACCCCCGAAUCCAUCAUUAAAUACUUCCAUCAGGAUUCUGAGAGGAACCCUGGAAGAGACCCCUCUAGAAGGCUGCUCCUGCCCCACAGAGCUCUGUGUUGUAUCACCAAUAAUUCCUCCUC